GUUGUUGUUGCGCAUUCUGUUGGCCUCCUAGUUUGUGGACGCGCGCGUGCUGUCGGCUCGGGGAUCUCAAGGUGCAUCGCGAGCACCUGUGACAGGUUUGACAAUCAGCCUACAGACGCGCGAUUGAACGCAACGCCGCGCGGGCUCCGCGCGCGCCUCUGCCUGAACCUUGCGCGGCGAAGUUGCGCUUAUUUCCCCGGGGGCGGAAAGAGACCGGGUUUCUCUUUGGUCUGCCCAUAUGCUAAUCCGGAGAGGAGCGAGACAGGCGUAACUCUGAACGGAUCGCGCGCGCGGACUUCGGAACAAUAACUCAUCAAUUCGCGGCGGGACGCGGUUUAAGCGCGAGCUGCUUGAGUUUCCGCGCACGUCCGCGCGCGGGGGACCGACGGGCAGGCUCGAUCACGGCGCCAGCGCUGGGCACUCGGCGCGAACCCGGAGAACAAGUUGCGCGCUUGAGCGCCCGGUCACUCCGGACGAACGCCAGUGGCUGUUUUUCAACUAAUCGACGCCGGCUCCCGUCGUGACGUGGUUAACGGGAAUAGUUCGCGCUUCGAGCAAACGCACUGCCGCGAAGACCUCUGCUUUUUGACGUUUGCUUGUGGAUUAGACACCGCGGUGUCGCGGAUGACCCCCGGGUUUCGGCACUCAGAGAUGAGAGCUCAUCACUGUCCACUAAAAGGAAAAAGAGACCUUGGGAAUCAGUGAUAAAACACGGAAAUGAACUGACCUCAGAUCAGGAGUCGGAAGACGAGCGGAGAGUGGGAGUAGCGAUGGUGGUGGAGGAGUGAACCCGGAGCAGGUGAACACAGCUGCGGACCGCCAUGGGCUCUCUUCCAUUGGUCCCGACUCUCCGUCUUUGGGUCUCUGAGAGACGGCAGGGGCCAGCCAGGGAGCGUCGGAGUGGGCAGGCGAGGCAGCUCGCUUUCCCCGCCGGCUACCGGCUCCUCGGCAGCGAGGAGGGAGAGAAAUCAAUACUGAGGAGAGAUGCUGCCAGGGGUCGCCCAACGCUGCCUCCAGCCAUGGAGCCAUGGGAGCCCGAGUGUUCGGCUUUCUCUCUCUCGCAGCCCAAUCUCAGUCAACUCGCAUCAGCUAAAGAGAGGGCCAACAGCCUUGACGCUCUUCAUGCAACACCGAGUGUGUGUGUGCUUGCGUGUGGUUCUGCCAGAGGGCCUUUCCAGGCUCGGCAUCACUUGAUAAAACUUUGCCUGCUGGAGAACAAGUAGAAAAAGAAUGUCAAAGGUCUUUCUUUCCCCCAUCUUUGAUUCCUAUUUCGCCAUGAGUGCACAUUCCCCCUGACUGUUGUAAUGAGUGCUUGACGGAGAUCUCUUUUACGCUAAAUCAAGAGGCCUUCUUUUUUCAGUGGUCCUCCUCCUAAGAAUGCACAAAGUGCUCUACAUCUGAGAGAGCAGUGUGAAUCCUUUUUCCACCUGGUUUUACAUGAUUUUUUUUUUUUGAUGGACGCCCCUAUGCGAGAGGCUUGGAAAAGGACUCGGCCUUGAUUUGUAGGUGAAGCGUUUCACGCUUAGCCUUCCUGGGCACUUUGUAACCUCUUUCACCCUUGACCGUGGUACUUGAUGGGUAUUAAUAACGGUGCAGACCAAUCGAGGACAUUGCGAGAUGGAGAAGUUCCAAAAAAAGUUGCUCCCGCAAGGCUGCAGAUCCAUUGGGAUGUGGACAACUGAAACACGGCCUGAACUAGAUACUAACAAUUCAGAAAGUGGAGUGCUGGUGGCAGUGGAUAGUUCCUUUAUCCUUGGAUGCUCAAAGGGAAAUCGGAUUCGGUUUGGGACUAAAUCUUGACACCAGGACCACGGACCAUCGAGACGUUUUUCCUGUUUUUCUUUAAUCACUAACGGACAUAGCUGGUUUUCGUUAAAACCGUUGUUUUUGUUGAAUCGCUUUUUUGCCAUCCAGUAAGUAUUUUUGGACGAUAAAGGUAAGUUUAUUUUUUUAAAGAAGAGUUUUGAAAUGUUUGAAGACAAGGGACAGUUAAUAAUAAAUGAGACUGACUUACUGCUAAUUUAAAUGUUUGAUUGAACUUAGGGAUGGAUGGAUAUUUAUAU
Long non-coding RNA from Puntigrus tetrazona (Sumatra barb), 2063 nucleotides. RefSeq lists it as uncharacterized. Lineage: Eukaryota; Metazoa; Chordata; Actinopteri; Cypriniformes; Cyprinidae. The record is from RefSeq and is a predicted model, not a curated record. The transcript has 5 exons.